This 151-nucleotide non-coding RNA is filed under the name uncultured Pseudophaeobacter sp. RNAcentral describes it as "Ruegeria cis2 sRNA". It matches the Rfam family "Ruegeria cis2 sRNA". From Rfam's summary of the family: Cis-encoded. Targets ABC transporter. Lineage: Bacteria; Pseudomonadati; Pseudomonadota; Alphaproteobacteria; Rhodobacterales; Roseobacteraceae. The record is from RNAcentral.
CUGCUGUAGUGGGGAUUGUAGUUGAUGAAGACAAAGCCACGCGCCUGAUCAAUGCAGUGAAACAGUGGGUUCCAGUCAAACAUUUUUAGCAUGAAUGUCGGCAGGGUAUUGGCCAGAAACAUCUUGCCUGAAGCAAUCAUAUUGGCGCGUU